Long non-coding RNA from Bacillus rossius redtenbacheri, 2835 nucleotides. RefSeq lists it as uncharacterized. The record is from RefSeq and is a predicted model, not a curated record. The transcript has 2 exons. NCBI's taxonomy places the organism in Eukaryota, Metazoa, Arthropoda, Insecta, Phasmatodea, Bacillidae.
UACUAUUUUUAAUCUGCACAACAGAUAGCGCUAGUAGAUUGACCUAGUUCUUUUGUAAAUUCAUAGGUAGCGUUAGUGUUCAUAAUCAAAUGUCAAUUGAAUGUUUAUAAGAAACUAAAUUUAUGCAAUAAAUACUAAUAAUGCAAUAAAUAUAGUGUAAUAUUAAUUUAUUUUGAUUUCAAAAACAGUUGAUUUGUAAAAAUUGUUUUUUUUUUUGCAGUAAUAUUCGUUUACAGAUUGAUUUGAGCAUUAUAGUCGCUCUUUUUUUUUUUCGGUUUGUAGUAGAUUUUGGUCGAGUGAAAGAUGGAUUUUACAAUGGAGUUUGAUUUAUCAUUUUGAAUUAUUUUCCUAUAUGAUUGUGAAUUAAGAAGCCGAUGAAGAUGCCUGUGAAUACACAUCAAUGUUUUGUGUCUUCGUGCAGGAACAGUAUUACUGUUAAUCCUGAUGUGACAACAUUCAGAUUUCCAUGAAGCCGAAGCAAGUUAUUGAAGUGGAUUGCUGCAAUUGGCUAUGACCUUGAUGCCAGUAAUGCUGAAACAUUUAAAACUAAAUAUGUAUGUUCCGAACAUUUUGAUAUUGGAGCUUUCACUACAUGUGACUGCAUCAAAUUGAAUCGUGGUGCUGCUACAACAUAUUUUAAUUCUGUGGACAGUGAAGUAUGGAUCUAUUGUUAUAAUUUAUUAUGUCUAGAAUGCUGCCAAAUAUAGGUGAAAUGUUUAUGUUACAUAACAUAACUUGUAAGAUCUACUUGUGCAGAUAUAUAUUUUCACCUGCCUCUAAGGUCCUUUGUUAUUCACAGGUAGCAUUUACAUGUGAUGAAGCAGUAUUUAACAUUAUUGGUCAACAUGCAGUCCAUCAUUACAACCUUUGUACAGGCGCAUACAAACAUAUAUGUGUGGGGUAUUUCACACUUUUUAUUUGAUGUUAAAGAUUGGUAUGGUGACCGGGAUACUUUUUUUUAUUAAACCUCCUACACAGUUCUCUACUGUUUCCCUUAUCUGUUGCCUUAACAUUUUUUUCCGAUCAGUCCAAUUCCUUGAAUCACAUUGCAAAAAAAGUCACAAUACAUGGGAUUGGGCCACUCUCUUCAAAGAAUUGUAAUUCGAGUUUAAACAUAGCAAGGCUGACCAUAAAUUGUAGAGGAAAAUUUAAAAUGUUGAUCUUCAACAUAUUUAUAACCUAUGCUCAUGUGAUGUAUAUACAGCUAGUUAGAAAGUAAGUUGUAGUAUAGUAUGCAAUUGAACCUUCAAUAAGUUCUACAUCCACACUUAAAAACUUAUUUUACUUGAUGUUUUAUGUUCAAUAACUAUUCAGUAUAAAGGUUUUUUUUUACAUUAUAAACUACAAAAGUAUUCCGAUUUGUAAAUGUAAUGAAAUUCCACUGAGCCCUCUACCUUUUUUUUAACUACCAUUUCUGCCGUGUGGCCUUUUUUUUCUUACUUUUGUGUUCAUUAUAAGUUACAACCACUCAUUUGAUUUAUUGUGUUAAAUUAAAUGAUAUUUAAAAUUGGAUGUCACUUCAUAAGAACAUUCAGGAUUACCUGUAUUCACAGCGCACAAUUAUACAAAAGUUUUUUAUGUAUGUAAAAGUGUUUUACGUAAGCCAGUGGACACAUACAUGUAUUGAGUAACAUGAGAAAAUUGAAAUAUCUAAAAUAAAAUUAAAAGGUUACAAGCUUUUAUAUACAUGCAGCUCCCAAAAAAGUCUGCAUACUAAAAAAUAACACAUGCUUUUAAAUGAAUUCUUACCAUCUUAUAAACUAGUAGUAUUUUGUUAUUUGAUUUCAAAUGAAUUGUUUUUGGUUAAUUUAUUUGACUGAAGGGAUUAAAUAUCAUUUGUAGAAUAAAGUGUGAAAAGUAGUAUUGAUCAAUUUAACUGUAAGUACUAAAUAUGUGUUACAUUUCUUGUAAGUUAAAAUUGUUCAGGUAUUAUAAAUUAGCUGAAAAAAGCAAACUCAUGACUAGAAUAAAUUGUACUGUUAGGUAUGUUUCGAAGAAAGACUACCUGUUGCAGUCGUUACCAUGUGUAUGUACCACAUUUUUAUUGUCAUUAUAACUGCCAUAAUUUUGUACAAAUAAAUCACUUAAUACAUAAAAUAUGGUUAUGGAAAUUCUCAGUUGAGUUUGUUAAUGGAUAUAGGCCAACAAAAGGGGUAUAAAUGGGGAAGAUUUUUUGAAAAACAUUUAAAUCACUUCAACUCCCAUAACAUGAAACAUAUCACAUCUGUUUGAACAUAUUAUAACUUAAAGGAGUAUUACCAAAAAUUUUGUCUACAUACUUGAAUAUGACCAGCCAUAACUGUUAAGGGGUGGGAAAAAACAAGGGUUUGAGGACAAAAAACUCCUAACUAUCUUAGUAGGCACACCAUAGAAUCUGUUCAAAUUUGUUGUCAAUUUUAAAAAAUUUUAUAACCACCUGAUAACCACCAAGGGUGCUGUGGGUAAAAUAAUGAGGGGUUAAUGGACAAACAAAUAUUCUUAAUUACUCUAUUAAGUUAACUAUAAAAUCUAUAACAAUUAUUGCAAUUCUUCUAAAACUUGUAUAAAACUUUGAUCUGAAACAAUUUUUUUAGGAUUAACCAGUGCUGCAAGAAGUUGAAAAUACCAGUGGGUGGAAAUUUAAAAAAAUAAUAAUAAAACUUCUGUACAGUGUACACUAUCGCAUCCAUUCUUAUUUAUUUAAAACUUUCUAAAUAUCUUUUGAAACUUUAAUGUAACCAAACAUUACUGCAAUGAGUGAAAAUAAUAUAUUCAGAGACAAAAAAUGAUAACUUUAAUUAUUGCACUUGCUCUCUGUAUGCUGACUGCAUUGCUAAAAUGCACAUAGACCUCCAA